Molecule: unclassified non-coding RNA, 332 nt
Filed under: soil metagenome
Description: partial contains 5.8S ribosomal RNA, internal transcribed spacer 2, and large subunit ribosomal RNA
Rfam family: 5.8S ribosomal RNA (bases 1-120)
Source: RNAcentral
GAUGAAGAACGCAGCGAAAUGCGAUAAGUAAUGUGAAUUGCAGAAUUCAGUGAAUCAUCGAAUCUUUGAACGCACAUUGCGCCUGCUAGUAUUCUGGCGGGCAUGCCUGUUCGAGCGUCAUUUCAACCAUCAAGCCCUAGGCUUGCGUUGGAGCCCUGCGGCUGCCGCAGGCUCCCAAAUCCAGUGGCGGGCUCGUCGUCGUACCGAGUGCAGUAAACAUCCUCGCUCAGGGAACGUGACGGGUUCUUGCCGUGAAACCCCCCACAUAUCAAGGUUGACCUCGGAUCAGGUAGGAAUACCCGCUGAACUUAAGCAUAUCAAUAAGCGGAGGA